RNAcentral lists this ribosomal RNA (363 nucleotides) under uncultured bacterium. RNAcentral's name for it is "partial 16S ribosomal RNA". It matches the Rfam family "Bacterial small subunit ribosomal RNA", at positions 338 to 698 of the family's 1533-position model. The record is from RNAcentral.
CCUACGGGAGGCAGCAGUGAGGAAUAUUGGUCAAUGGGAGGAAUCCUGAACCAGCCAUGCCGCGUGCAGGACGACGGCUCUACGAGUUGUAAACUGCUUUUGCACCGGGGUAAAAUGCUCUACGUGUAGGGCUUUGAAAGUACGGUACGAAUAAGGAUCGGCUAACUCCGUGCCAGCAGCCGCGGUAAGACGGAGGUUCCGAGCGUUAUGCGGAUGCAUUGGGUUUAAAGGGAGCGUAGGUUGUUUUAUAAGUUAGCGGUGAAAUACCGAUGCUCAACAUCGGGGCUGCCGUUGAUACUGUAGGACUAGAGAUCGGGUGAAGCAGGCGGAAUGUGUAGUGUAGCGGUGAAAUGCAUAGAUAUU